CGUCUUACUGCCUGGAGGCUCAAACACCAUAGAAGUUGGCGGACUCGAGGCGCAGAGCGGCUACAUGCAAAUUACGGAUGCGCUGAGCCAAUCGGCGGCCGCGCGGAGGCAGCGAUGAGUUAAAGCGGUCAGUUUCUGGGCUGGUUCGGGCACGCAGAGGGGUGCAGACGUGAGAGAGCGCGAGGAGUCAAUGGGGGACACGGGCUGGGAACUGUGGUGCGCUUAGGGGAUUCUCGCCGUGCCUGUACGAGGCUUGUGGUCAACGUCCGCGAUUGCUGGCGUUGUAAUGCGUUCGUGGGGAAGUGGAGUGUUCGUGGGGGUUGAGGUGGUGUUGUAGUAUUAGGGUACAGGGAGGGGGGCUCGACGUGGAGCUGUUUUUUUUCGGGCUUUGGUCGUGUGGGAGAGUGUGGAGCAAAAUGAAGUGGAGCGGCUGAGGGAAGCAGGCCGGGGGCUGUGCGCGGGAGGUUCCUCGCUCUGAGCAGUUAGAACACAACGAAGGAACUUUUACACGUUAGGGUGCGUGUGUGGUACGGUGAGGAGGACCAAAGACCAUAGAAACUGGCGGACUCGCAGCGCAGAGCGGUGGGAGGAAGGCGAUGGGUUUUCCGCGUUUCAGCGCGCAUGCGUGUCACUGCCUGGAGGACCAAACACCAUAGAAAUUGGCGGGCUUGCGGCGCAGAGCGUUCAGAACAGGGAGGUGCGGUGCUUUAUUGGGGGCGGCAGAGCGGGGAAACGGUGCCCUUUCUCUGGGGAUACUCAGAACCUGCGUGGAUGCAGUCCUGUGCAGCGUGUUCCCACAGGUUAUAGCAGAUCCAUCAAGUGAUUACGCAGCCUUUGCCCAGACAGACCUUUUUUCCCCUGAAGUGACCACGUAUUACAAGUUAAUUACAGGCAGUAUUCUCAUGACUAAUUAUUUACCAUCAAAAGACAGGCUUUUUUGAGACCGAACCCCUACUGUCUCAAAGUUAAUAGGAGAAACCUCUUUAAUUAGUCGUUAUUAUCUACGUGGACCGUAUCUGCAUAUAAUUAGACAUCUCAGCACAUCAGUAUAGGCUGUGGGAACAGCCAGCUGUGUUAUUUUGUUAUUAAAAUCUGCUUCUGAGGGAUGUCUGCAGGGAGUUCCCAUAGGACAGGUCCCUUGUGGGUCUUUCUGCUGAGCCUGAGCUAGCAGGGACAGGGAGUUUAGCAAUUAAAUAUAUUUCCCUAUUGGGUCUUCUUGAUGUGAUCCCAUAUAGGAUAUCAGUGUGAUGGGUUAUAAUGCUAAACAUGACACGGUCCUUUUCCCUUCUCUUUUGGCACUGUUCAUAAAGCACAACAGCAUCACAGAGCACCACUGCUGAUUCAGUGUGGCCUUGAUGUGCACCGGCCUUUCCUGUGUGGUGUGAAGAAGAAGCCUGCAAUACCUCAGCUUCCAAGAGAUAAGGCCUCACAUCUUGCACACAGCAUCCAAAUAACCUUUUCAAAAGCAUUACUGGUGGGACACACAUGCAUUUCAGGGCCUAUGGAGAAGAAGCUUGUCAGUUUAUCCAGUCUUUUUCAAUAGGCUCCCAGCUCAGUCUGACAGCAAGCAGUAUUCCCAGUCUUACGGCAAUUAGAGAAGAGAAAUAUCCUUUGUGUUAGCGUUUUUCAUUCUGCUGGCCAGAAAGUUUGUUCCAAGUGUUGAAGACAAAAACAAAGCCUUCAUUGAGGCUAAUGGGGAGAGUGCCUCAUUCAUGACAGAAGGCAAAAAGGAAUUGGGAAGAUAAUAUGACAUUUUGCAGGCAUGCGAGUCUCAUUGAAUAGCAGUGUAAGAGCACUUUUCUGAGCACUAUCCAGCACUAUCCAUAGGAACUGCUCUGCAGUCCGUACACAAAUGUCUGUGCCAAUCUGAAGCAGCUAUUCUGUCAGUAAUUACAAAGUAAACACACAGCUGUGACACAUCCAGAUACCACUGGCUGCAUCCAAGUGUCCAUCGUACAGAAGCACUCUUGAGGCACUCUCAGGCACAGAAGUUUUUUAGUUCCUAAAGGUACUUUUCAUAGGAGGUGUGGAAGAAAUGUGAGAAAGAGGUGUCUUAGAUGAGAGGAGACGACUGGACUAUGUGGAUCAAGGGAGAAGAGUGAGUUGCUUGCUGCACAUUUUGCUUACGGAGCAUUAGUACAAGCUAUUCAAUUAAAGUAACUUUGGCUAAUUAGAUACUUCUGAAAGACCUCUGUCGCUAGAAGUGUCUUUUCCUUCAUUCACUUGUAGAAUGGGACAUCUAAGCAUCAUGCUUCUUCAUGCUCUGUUUUCAUGAUCAUACACUGUGCUGGUGUUCUUUAUUUGUUUUUAAAUGCAGAAGUGAUGCAGGCAUAAGCUGAUCCUGCACUGGGGUAAAUGUUGAGAUAUUAAGUAACUUAAUGUCUUACCUCUGUUUUCCUGUGGUCAUUUCCUUUUCACUUUGAGUCCCUUGACCCAAGUACAGUAGAAACAGUGAUUAAAAACAAGUGCACCUGCAGAGGCAGCUGCCAUAACUGCACUUGGAUUUGGCAGCAUGGACAGUGCUUCUAAAUGUGAGGGAAGAACAAGCAAUUGGCAUUCCAUGAUCAGUCUGAAACUUUCAGAGAGUCAUAGCAAUCUCCCCCGCUCCUAAAUAUGUACAUCUCGCAUCAGAAAACUCACUACAGUACAGUUACCAGAUGCUGAAUCAGCGUGAAGAAGAAACAGCCACACUGAAUGCAUAGAGGAAAAAUGGGUCACCUACCAUCAGUGAGCAUCAUGGCUCGCUGUCAGCUGAAAAUAUGGUUUGGGGCAUAGACAGUGAGUACAGCCAGAUGUCAUUUUUAAACACUGGCUCACUGUAUGCUGCCAACAAAUAAAAAGUCAUUUGAAUUUGAACUUCAAACUCAAUGGUUUUGGAAAUAAGCAAGGUGAGAACCUGCCUAUUUUGUAUGAGCUCCCUUUUGCUAAGCAUCCCUAGGGCUGCAGUUUUAGAGCCUGAAUGAGAGAAUCCAAAGCACCAGAGGGACAUAUUCUGUUGCAUCCUUAGUUUAUGGAAGUAGGGAGCUGCUCUUCUCUUUUUUUUUUUUGCACAUGGUAUCACUGCUCUGAUACGUAUAAUCAAUGCUAUGAGUUUUUGGAAUACAGUUUGUUUGUAACAGCAGCACAGCUGCUUUCUACUCCAUCUAGUUCCCUGUCAGUAGGCUGCUUCCUUUCAUGAUGGAAUGCACUUGUUGUUUUGAGCACCAGCAAACAGGAAAUUAGAGAAAGUGAACUGGACAAAUUGCAGACACUGUAAUUAUCUUUAUCUUUGAGCUCGUUGCAAACCAGCUGUCCCACCAGUCUGGUGAGAUGGCACAUCUUACAGCCAAGCUGAAAAUGAAGGAUGAAGGAGCACAAUUUGUCAGAGGAGGUGCAGAGAUCUUGGGGGACUCCAACAGUUAGCAGUUGUUUGACCAGCUAUUUUAAAAUUGACAUAGAUACCCAUUAUGAAGUUGAUGGUAACAGGAGGAGGAGCUCACUCAUCUCAUAGCGCUGAUUCUAUGAUUCUGUGUUAUUUGGAAAACAACCAAAACCACACCAAGACUGGACUGAACUCUUCUCUGACAUGAAUGGGCAGCACAGCUUGCAGAGAAUAACGCAGUCACAAAACCAUGGAGCUUCUUCUCUUUUGUGAGCUGAUUGUGCUCAAGAACACACACUAUACUAAUACACCAAGAACUGUCCUAACCAACCCUUCUUUGUCUCAGCUGUUACUUUUACCUUUCACAGUCAUGUCAAUGGAAUAUGUUUUAUAGUUCCAUUUCCUUGUUUUAAUCACCUGCUAGACAGCACAGAUGUCAGCUUGCAUUUCUUGCAUUGCAGAAGUACGAGAAUUGUUCCCCACUUACCUUCUCCAUGUUCACUGACUUAACAGUCUCUUUUUUGUGCCCCUGAUCAUCAUACAGGAUUCUUAGUUCUGAAGUUUCACCGUUAAGAUGGAUGGCCCAUAAUUACUGCAUACAGUGUUCAAGAGAAGGACAUAGGAGGAAAAAUAAAUAUCCAAAACCUAACAUGUAGAAAAGGACCAGUGCUACUCUAUAGCUUGACUUCCAUAGAGCAUGCACUGUUAUCUGAAAAGCGGAAAAUGUAUCCAGAUGGUAUAAUUCUUUUAAAAGAAUGUUUUCCUUUAUUUUAAAAAGAAUAUGACAGACUGUGUUUUAAAGAUUUGCAGCAUAAAUUCUUAAGAGUGGAAAAAAUGUUAUGUUAAUUUGGUCAUAGUUCUAAUGAUGAAGCUAAACAAACUUCUUUUCUCUCCAUCUUCUAUCUACCUGUCCAUGUUUAAUAAUGUAGUUCCUUGUUACCAAAGCACGAGAUCAGCUAUUGGUUAAUAACUUAAUGCUAACUCAAUUCUAAAGAGACUCCAUCCAUGUCAGAUAACCCACCUAGAAGAAAACUUUCCAGAAUAACUUUCUGAAGUAUUGGAGCCCUCGGUAAUUGUAAUUACAAAUGUAGUUCCUCUGACAGACCAAAGUAAACCCUGAACUCAAACAGGAAGGUUCUGACUGCUGUGUUGUAUGACAUCCAACUCUAGUUUGAAAUUUUUCUUGAUCUCCACCCCCCUCAAGAUUCAGAAUUUGGAUUAGUCGGUUUAGACACAGAGCUAGAAAAAUGCCACUUUUGUUAAUGAAAUUAAAAUAGCCCAUAAGCCGAAGAAGUAAGAAAGCAAAGAAUCUUCUUAUAAGGGGAUGGAAAUUGAUGCUAAAUUUACAUUUAUUUCAAUUUCUGAAGAAAAUAAAUACUGUCUUACCAUGUAUUAGGACUUUUGCUUAGUACGAAUUAUUUGUUGCUAUCUAAACAGGUUGAGUUGUGUGUUCUAGAAUACAAAAGUGACUUUGUUGUACAGUUUCAUCGGCCUGAUGAUUCUCUGCUGGAAAUCAGUGGAUGACUCAAAGCAAAGACAAAAGGCAGCCAAGUGUCAGACAGCAAAAGACAACACCGUUUUUCUUUCUUCAUGACAGCUGGGAUGAACAUUUGCAAGAUACGGAUCCAAAUGUUUCUGUACGUAAAACUGUUUGUCACCUGGUGAUCAGCUAUGCCUGUUUGUUACCAUGACCAAACAGUGAGUCCUCAUUUUGAUUCAUCAAGAACUUUGCCCUUUGUUGUGAACUAAAGUACUACUAAAACCUGACAGAGCAAGAACUAAGUUGUUCAAAAGGAUACUGAGUCAUGGUGCAGGAAACACUGAUUAUUAUGCCCAACUUGUUUUCACAUACAUGUGUGCAUGUGCAUAAUAGGUAGAUGUAAGCUCAUUGCUUGCCUUGCAAGGAACUGCUGUAUUUUGUAAGACACAUAGCAAGCAACUUCUCUUAUAUAGCAAGCAUAAUAAGUAAACUUCCCUUUGGUUUCAAUUUCUACAUCCAAAAUAUUUACAGGGACUAUUGAAAUCUGUCUAUCAACUCCUAGGCAAGGCCCUAGACAUUUUUCUAGCUGUUGCGUAAGAAACAACAAAUCUCAGUUUAUGUGGUGCAUGAGAGCUGGCACUGAUUUUCCUAGGAAGCACUGCAACUGUUCUGGUUUGGGCUGCGUUAGAGUUAAUUUUUCAUAGUGAGUGGUAUAUGUCCCUUAAAGAUAAUGCCUUUUCACAGUAUCUGUCUUAUUUUUAAAAGCAUUAAUUAAGAGGAAAGGCAGACAGCAGUAAAAGUAUGUCCACAAUUAACAUAGGAAAAUACUAAGCUCAUGUAAAAUGACUGUAGCGUGCUUUCUGUUGCUUUAUGAUGGAAAACAGAUCUGUACUAUCUGCACACAAAAAGGAGGAAAGCAUUAUUUAAAGUCUCUAAUAGCAUAUUAAGCUGGAGGAAAUUUUAAAUGAUUAGCCUAAUUAGUCUACUUCUUAACAAGGAUCAAGUAAGUUACUAAUGUAGAAAUGAGUAAGGCAGAAGGUUUGUACCUUCUAAGAAGCAUGGCUGCCCUUUAAGCUGCCAUCUGAAUCCACAGUCUCUCCUCUUAGAAUAAGGAAGUUAAGAUCUGGCACUGCUUCAGUUCAAUAAAAAACAAAAUAAUUUGGAUCUUGAUCCCCAAUUUAUCCUGUAGCUAUCUGAGAAAUUCUUUCCUUAUUAACAGAGAAAGAAGGAAGUAACUGUAGAAACUGCUUUAAGGCAGCUGCCUAGAAUUUUUCGUGGUAAUGAGCUCUGUUCAUAGACUUUAAAAAGUUUAAUUAAAUACAGAUGAAUGACAUUUCCUACUUUCGUAAAACUAUAGAUCGGCAUUUGUAAGAGCUCAUGAAGGCAUCCAGUCCUUGUCCUAAUUAGCCACGGUAGUUUAAAGCAAAAAAAAGUAGUGCUGGAGGGGGGGGAGGGGAUCUACUGUUGAUUUAUCAAUUAUGGUAUUUUCUAUUAUACCAAAAUGAUGCAGAAAGGCUUUGAAAUCCAUCAUCCCAAUGCCAGUUUCUGCAGUUAUGAAAAAAAUGCCUAUACUGACAACAAAGUCCAUUUCAUGCUCUUGUAUUCCACUUGACCUUCUAUCUUCUCAGUUUAAGGAUUGUGGCCUGAGGCCACCGCCGUGUCAGUCACCCACAUGUUAACUCUGGCAACAAACCAAGUAUUGAAUUCUUGCAGAAACGCCGAAAAGAUCGUUAGAAAAAAAGAAAAGCUUAUGUGUACAUACAUACUAUGGUAAGUCUACCUCAUGAGUCUCAUGCUGCACCUUUUGUGAGAUCUUCAGCAAAUAAAUGAAAUCUUAUGCAAAAGUUCACAUGUGGUUUAACGAAAUGUACAUAAAAACAAUUGUCUGCUUACUCACAAGGAGCACUUCUGGCUGCACUUUUGUCGAGAGAAUGAUUCUCAAUGGGCCCCAUGAAUCUCAGCCUGAGUGUUGGCUGAUACAAGAAGGUGAACAUGUAACACAAUGAGAUCUACUGCUGCACAGCUGCCUCCCAGCAGAGAAUGCAUUACAGUGCUCACGUGCGUUUGUAUGCUUGCAAACUCAGUCAGCUCAGUGGUAUUUGUUUUCUAUUAUCUAGAAGAGCAUUUGAGUGAGCAAACCCAGAAGGUGGGUUUGAGGACGGACCGGGCUGCAAGCUUCCAACCUGCGUAGUACAGAAGGACUCUCAGCAACUGGCCCAAGAGGAAACUGAAGAUGACUUGGUCCUGUGCUGUAGUAACAACACUUCACUGCUUUGGAAAAACAAUAAAAAGAAGAAAGAAAAAAGAAAGCAUUGAGAGUUCCAACACCAUAAAAAGAUAAGAAACAGAAUGUAUUUUGAGUGAAAGUGGAAAAGUCUUGUGUUACGCAACACAGUCAUGCAGAAAUCUCCAAAACAGGUGUGUUCAUAACAGCAUGGCACUGAGCAUGGAUUAAUUCAUUACAGCUGAGAUACUCCUAGGUUCUGAUUGGAAUAGUUUGUGGGUACAUCUUCUCACAGAUGUUCCAGCUCAGAUAUGUUACUGCCUCAGGCCUGCACUUGUACCAUUGGUUCUUGUGGUUUGGCUGAACUGGAGCAAGAGGAACAGAAAGACACAAGGAUUGUUUGCAAAGAAAAACAUAUAGAGGGGGAAAGUAGAAGCAGUUAAACAAAUAAAGAGGUAUUGAAGAGAAGGAAAAUCAAUGAGUCAUAAGUGAACAUGGACGAACUUUCAGAGGAAGUGAUGCAUGCAUGUAGAUGGAUAUUGGAUAUUACAUAGAGGGUAUUUCAAUGCUGGCAUUUGAUUUGAAAGAACAACCAGGCAGGUCCACUUUCUCUCCCUACUAAUUUACAUGAGAUUACUAACUCUCCUCUAAUUUGUAUUAGGACAUUUCAAAGCUCUGCGUGAUUUCCAAAGGCAAUUUGUGCCAAUGGGAAGGUAUACACACAGCAUAUGAAUGAGUACAAGGGAACUUGAUCAAAAUUCCAGUCUCAUGUAUUUUUUCUGAACACUUGCUGCACUCCUUUCAGAUCUGGAAAAUUGCAGGCUGACAUAUCUCUGGAUUUUUUAUGUUGUGCUUCUUUUCUCCUAAGAUCUACGCCCUACUGGUUCUGGGAAACUUGUGACCUCUGCAUUUUUAAUUAGAACUUGUAACAUUUUCCAUAGCAACAUAUUUUGAUGUCGCAAAUACAGAACCUGUCAAAUCAAACAAUUUCAAAGUGCAAAGCUACGGCCUUCUGGUCAAUUGAAGUCCAAGUACAUGAAAACACUGAGAUGCAAGGAAGACUGAAAAUUAUUUGUUGGUUAACUCAUAGCUUUGAUCUUCAUAAUUAAUAAAUCAGUACAGAUAUAAAAGAAUUACAUUGCAUGCUGGAGUGGUUUAGAUGAACUCAGUACUAAUUUCAUCGCACGUGAGAGCAGAUAGAAUCCAUCUGUCUGACUGGUGUGCCAGUACUAACAUGGUACAAAGGAGAGGAUCUAUUUCUAGGAAAUAGUCGAGAUGUGGAACAAACUUCACUCACAUGAUGAGCUGUGUGAGCAGGAAGUGAAGAAAACAGAAAUCCUCUGAAACGAGGCCUGAGCUCAGAUUUCAACAGACCCACAAUAUGAGCAGGAAUAAUAAUAAUGGGUUAAGAAAAGCAGUGUAACUUAGCACUUAAAUAUGUAUAUUAAAAAUAAGUCAUUUAUUUAUGAUACAUGCCCUGCAAGUGCCAAAUAAUACUUCUGUCAAGUCUGAAGAACAUAAACUGAGAAUUUUUGUCAUUCAGAUAUACUUAUCUUUCCUUUUCCUGCUUUAAGCUAAGACUAAUGGCCAAGGAAGUCAUAUUUUCCUGCCAUUACUAAGACUGCACAAGGUAAUUUGCCCCUCUGCAAGGACAUCCACGUGUAACUGUUAGUCACACCAGCAGCCACGAGAUAUGGAUAUGAUCAUCAAGUCUUAUUAAAACAAAUGCUGAAUACCAUGAACCUUUCAGGAGGAAAAGGCAAGUGUCAAUGUGGAAUGCGGUAAGAACUUUCUUGUUUCUGGUAGCAUUGGGUAUGUGACUGCUAUCCCUUUUCUUAUUCCAUCUAUUUCCACUUUUUACAAAAAAAAGCAAAAAACAAAAAAACAACCCAAAACAACCCAACCCACUGGAAUAUUAAGUUAGUAUUAAGUUAAAUGUGGUAUGUUUUAACCUUGCAUUGCAGAUAAGGAAUUCCUGGAGUUCCUCAAUCCUGCAUGAUUGCAGGCAGCUCACCUGAGUGUGCAUAAGGGAAAGGGGAACAAAAAUAUAAGAUUUUUCUGUUUCCUACCAAUUAUCUGAUAUUUCCCCUCUACUGUCUUUGGUGUAAAAGAAAACCAAAGUUCAGCCUUCUAGGAAAUGUAUUCUGGUAACCUGAAAGACUUUAUAAAUAGAGUGCACAAAUAGAUGACAGUAAUUCCAUGACAUAGAUUUUCUGCUUUAGAAUGAAAUGCUUCAUUUGAAAAAGCUCCUAAAAUUGUUAGAACAGUAAUUAAAAAAAAAAAAAAAAGUUUAAACUCCACAAUUGAAUACAAAAAACGUUGCUGUGAAGGUUUUGAUUUCCAAGAAAUCCAUUUUAAACUUAUUUACAAAGUUUACAUAGAAGAAUAGAUCUGCUGCUAUCUAUAACAUUCACUUCUGUAGUAGAACAGCUAAUUUGCGACUAUUGGAUGAGAGAUACAGAAAGAGUCACUUUAGUGAAAGAAAAAAAAAACAUAUUAUUUUAAGGACAAAUAGUAAAAAAUGAUUGUUUUGGAGUUUAGAGAAACAGAGUUUGAAGGAUUUUGCCCUCCAAUGCAGACUGCUCAUGCUUAUGCUGUAGCAAAGGAGGAGCAUCUUGACUACAAGAGUCUUAGUGGAAGAAAACUGGCAAUGCCUUUAUAAAAAUGUAUUUAAUUUCUGUGUUUGCAGUUUUCCCAGCUUCAUCCCUAGGUCCUGGCCUCAAGGGCCCUAGAGAUGUCACAGUUUUAAACAGUCUUAUAAAUCUAGGAGGGGAAAUGAGCUGUCUCUCAUCUUAAACAGAGAGCCUUGGAGAAUGUCUAUGGGGCUUUACCAAUGGAGCUGCCGAAAACAAAGCUAUGAUUCAGGGGUCUCUGACCUUUCCCAGCCCUCCUCCACCAGUGUCAGCCUGCAGCCUGCUCUUUAAAAGUUUCUGCUCACCCAGGGAGCAAAAUUAGAAAUCUUCUCCAGGGACAAUUUUUCUUCCAUCAAGCCACUCAUCAGCCCACUGAGGCAUGGAAACCAAAAAGGAAAAAGUGAGUUAAAAGAAUGUAUGUCUCUUGGUAAGGAUUUCCCACAGCAGAGUGUAAGUGUCCAGACUACCUCAUCAGCAGAGUCCCAGCCUUUACUAUACGUCUUGGUAUUCAGUCUGUACUGUAGUGGUAUAGAAAAGUGCCAAGCACUGUGCAGGUGAUGCAUGCAUCAAUACAGCAGAUGUGGAGGUGUGUUUGAACUGCUUAACAUCAGCACUUACCAAAUGUUGAAGACACUCUAGCCCCUACGACAAAUAAAAGCAUUCAUUCAGAUGUGCAUGGCAUUUCAGGAAUGGAAUCAUUAUUAUCUUCUCCGAAAAUGUUUUGUCUUAUGUUUAAUAUAAUAUAAUAUAUAUUGCUUAUUGGAAACAAAUCCUUGUUAGUCUCGUUGUUUGUUUGUUUCCUAAUUGUGGAUUACCACAGAACAGGGUACAGUUCAUAAAUACCUCAAAUAUCUGAAAGGUGAUUGCAGCAGAGCAGGGCUGCUAUCUUCUCACUGGUGGCAGGAUGAGGAGAAAUGGCCUCAGGCUGCACCAGGGGAGGUUUAGGUCGGAUAUCAGGAAGAAUUUCUUUACAGAAAGGGUUGUUAAGCUCUGGAAUGGGCUCCCCAGGGAGGUGUUGAGUCACCAUCCCUGGAUGUGUUUAAAAUCCAUCUGGAUGUGGUGCUCAGGGACAUGAUUUAGUGGAGGGUUGUUAGAGUUUGGGUAGUAUGGUUGGGUCUUGAUUGGACUCAAUGAUCUUUAAGGUCUUUUCCAAGCAAAUUCUAUGAUUUCCGGAGCAAUUCUAUGAUUCUGUCAUUUAAUAUGGAGAAAAUUCAAGUAAACUAAAAAUCAGAUUUAAAAGAUAACCUGGUGCAAUGUACUUUUAUUUAUUAAUUUGUUUAUUUUUAUUCCCCAGGCCUUUUUAAAGUUAACCCUAGGAAACACCCCACGUUGGCGACUCCUUGUAAUUCAUGUCAAUGUUCUUUCAGCAGCACAGUUGCUGCUUCCACGCCGUGAGCAUCUCCUGUAUUUGCUUUAGAACUGCUUCCUGCUGAUGCGUUAAGCACAGGAAGUGAAAGGUUGGUCCCAAAAUGUCUUCUGAGUGCAAAGGAGAAGCCUGCUGGGGCUGGGGCUGCAUGCAAGUCACAAUACUUUUCCUUGAAUAAUCACCUGAAGCACAGCUCUUAGAAACCAUUGUACUGCAGCAAGUAGCUGCUAUUUUUCUGCACCCUUUUUUUUCUGUGCUUUCAGUGGCAGUUGUAGGUAUCUCACAUGGCCAGCUGCUCUCUGUUCAC
RNAcentral lists this long non-coding RNA (11371 nucleotides) under Gallus gallus (chicken). The record is from RNAcentral. Lineage: Eukaryota; Metazoa; Chordata; Aves; Galliformes; Phasianidae.